RNAcentral lists this ribosomal RNA (497 nucleotides) under uncultured bacterium. RNAcentral's name for it is "partial 16S ribosomal RNA". It matches the Rfam family "Bacterial small subunit ribosomal RNA", at positions 899 to 1397 of the family's 1533-position model. The record is from RNAcentral.
ACUCAAAGGAAUUGACGGGGGCCCGCACAAGCGGUGGAUUAUGUGGUUUAAUUCGAAGCAACGCGCAGAACCUUACCUAGGCUUGACAUCCCACGACAACCGUAGAAAUACGGCUUUGUAGCAAUACACGUGGAGACAGGUGCUGCAUGGCUGUCGUCAGCUCGUGUUGUGAAAUGUUGGGUUAAGUCCCGCAACGAGCGCAACCCCUGGAUUUAGUUGCCAGCAUUAAGUUGGGCACUCUAAAUUAACUGCCAGCGUUAAGCUGGAGGAAGGUGGGGAUGACGUCAAGUCCUCAUGGCCCUUACGCCUAGGGCUACACACGUAAUACAAUGGAUAGGACAAAGGGUCGCGAACCUGCGAGGGGGAGCUAAUCUCAAAAACCUAUCCUCAGUUCGGAUUGGAGGCUGCAAUUCGCCUCCAUGAAGGCGGAAUCGCUAGUAAUCGUGGAUCAGAACGCCACGGUGAAUACGUUCCCGGGCCUUGUACACACCGCCCGU